RNAcentral lists this long non-coding RNA (4097 nucleotides) under Homo sapiens (human). RNAcentral describes it as "non-protein coding lnc-ILKAP-6:1". Lineage: Eukaryota; Metazoa; Chordata; Mammalia; Primates; Hominidae. The record is from RNAcentral.
GCUGUCUGCGGCAGGGCCGCCAUCGGGCCGCGGCCGGUUAGUCGGCGUAAGAGCAGGCGGGGCCCGAGCUGGACCUGAGGAGCAGAGGCGGCUGGGCAGUCCUGCGGGUGCCUCCCUCUAGCCGCAUGAGCGCGGGACCGUGCACUCCGGGAGAGCCGGGGCCGCGCGGCCUUGUUCCCCGCGAACCCUCGAGGGGAAGUGCCGGGGCCGCGGCAGCAGGGCCAGGGCCCCGGGGGUCUCCCGCAGGCCACCCUGGACAGUGAUGAGCAGGUCCGCUGGACCUGCGCGUCCGUUAGUCGGAGCGGCUCCAUAGGGGACCUGGAUGGCGUGAAGUUAAGAGUCACGCAUCGAGGAUGGACUUGAGGGGAUCUGGAGUAGAGGAUGGGAGGGCAUUGAGAAAAUAGGGCCAGAGAUGAGGGACUCUAAGUGGGCGUGGAAACGCAGGAAAGAUUAAUUCAAGAUCUGUUUAGGCCGUUAAAUAGGAAUUGGGGCAUGAGGGACAGGAAGGAAGCAAGGAUUAGACAAGUGACUGGGAAGAUGUUAGUGCCUUUAUCUGGGUAAGAGGGAAGACGGGAGGGGGAAAGAUGAUGGGUUUAGCUUUGGACAUGUUGAGUUGUCUGUGAGACAGUCACAAGUGUAAACAUCCACCAAUGGUUGGUGUCCCGCCAACCAUUAAGAAAAGUCAGUUGAGAAAGUGGUAGAAAUGAGCAAAAAUCCUCACGAAGCCAUCCUACCGUCACUUUUUUUGUUGUUUUUUGUUUUUUUGGCAUAAUAGUGUCUACCUUUAAUUGAGCCUUGAACUAUGCCAGGCAGUGUUCUAGGUAUUUUUCGUGUGUUCACUAAUUUAAUCUUGAUGAUUAACCCAGUCUGGUAGGUAUUUAUGUAUGAGGAAUCCAAGAUACAGAAAGGCAUCUUGCCCAAGUUCACACGAGUAGUGGCUGGAGCCAAAAUUCGGUUUCAAGCAUGCUUUGCCAAGAGGUUGAAUUUUAAUUGGCUUUUCAUGGGCUUUCUCUAUUUUGUGUCCUGUUGGGGUCCAGAAUAACUUGGCUUUUCCAGCACAGCAAAUCUGCAAAUUUCUGGACUCAUUCUCUCUCAUUCUUCCCUAUAAACGCAGCUCAUUUCUUGCCAAAUGCAGCCAAUAGCAAAGGGCCCACCAACAUUUAAGAAGCAAAUGGAUGCACAGGAGCAUGAGAACAGUCAAAAGAGGAGGAAAGGAAAGGGAAUUGAGAAGGAAUGUCAAAAAAGUCAAGAAGACACAUAAUAGUGUAAAGUGUGGCUGAGAGGCAAUCCGAAGUCUACUGUGCGUAACAAUUAGGAGGCACUGAUAAACUAGCGAGAGAAGUCUCAGUGAUGGGAGAGGCAUGGAAGUUAGAAUGCAAAGAUGGGAUAUGAAAAAAUGAAGAAUGCAGUCAACUCUUAAAACGGUUGAGAAAGGAGGAAUUAAAAAGGCGUAUAAGAUUACAGGCAAGCUGGGCGCGGUGCUUCACCCCUGUAAUCCUAGCACUUUGAAAGGCUGAGGUGGGUGGAUCACCUAAGGUCAAGGGUUCGAGACCAGCCUGGCCAACAUGGCAAAACUCCGUCUCUACUAAAAAUACAAAAAGUAGCCGACUGUGGUGGUGCAUGCUUGUAAUCCCAGCUACUGGGGAGGCUGAGGCAAGAGAAUCACUUGAACCUGGGAGGUGGAGGUUACACAGUGAAGCUGAAACCAUGCCACUGCACUCCAGCCUGGGAGUCAGAGUGAGACUCCGUCUCAAAAAAAAAAAAAAAAAAAAAGAUUAAGAGCAAAUAGAGACUGAACAUGUUCAUAGGCUAAAGGGAGUUAGCCAACAGGACGUGCAAGGAAGAGGAGCCAAAGUCCUGGAGGAGACGAUAGGGGAUGAAGUUAAGAGUAAAGGUGGCUAGGGAAGUUGAUAGGCAUGGGGAGAAUUCAUUCUCUAAAUCUGUUUGGAAGGCUGUAAGGAUAGGAGCCCAAGGACAAUGGACAAAGUGACGAUUCAUCCCAAGCACUCCUUGGGCCAGUUAGGCAGCAAUAAGGUUUGUGUUUCCAGGUGAACAUAGUGAGUGUAGUGGUGGAGUCAGACAAGAUAGUGUCCAACAUGGCUGGUGAUACCCCGAAAGAAUUGAGUACAAACAUACAGAAGCCCAGGUGCUGAGGUAGCCCAGCUGAAAACAGUUUAGGGUACAACACGCAGCAGCAGCUACCACCAUUCCAAGUAUACUGGUCACACAUGCAACAGAUGACCUACCAAGAUGUCUCUAAUACAAACACAAGUGCCCCAUAGUGGCCAGACAUUUGAGGAAUGGCAUCUCCAUGAAGAUAGUGAGAGGUGACAGCGUGCUGGCAGCCCUGGCAGCCCUCGCUCGCUCUCGGCGCCUCCUCUGCCUGGGCUCCCACUUUGGUGGCACUUGAGGAGCCCUUCAGCCCACCGCUGCACUGUGGGAGCCCCUUUCUGGGCUGGCCAAGGCUGGAGCCGGCUCCCUCAGCUUGCAGCGAGGUGUGGAGGGAGAGGCGCGAGCGGGAACCAGGGCUGCGCGGGGCGCUUCUGGGCCAGCUGGAGUUCCGGGUGGGCGUGGGCUUGGCGGGCCCCGCACUCGGAGCGGCCUGCCAGCCGGCCCCGCCGGCCCCGGGCAAUGAGGGGCUUAGCACCCGGGCCAGCGGCUGCGGAGGGUGUACUGGGUCCCCCAGCAGUGCCAGCCCACCUGCGCUGCGCUGGAUUUCUCGCCGGGCCUUAGCUGCCUCCCCGUGGGGCAGGGCUCGGGACCUGCAGCCUGCCAUGCCUGAACCUCCUCACUUCCAUGGGCUCCUGCGCAGCCUGAGCCUCCCAGACGAGCGCUGCUCCCUACUCCAGGGCACCCAGUACCAUCCACCGCCCAAGGGCUGCGGAGUGCAGGCGCAGGGCAAGCGGGACUGGCAGGCAGCUCCACCUGCAGCCGCAGUGGGGGAUCCACUGGGUGAAGCCAGCUGGACUCCUGAGUCUGGUGGGGACUUGGAGAACCUUUGUGUCUAGCUCAGGGAUUGUAAACGCACCAAUCAGCGCCCUGUCAAAACAGACCACUCGGCUCUCUGUAAAAAGGACCAAUCAGCAGGAUGUGGGUAGGGCCAGAUAAGAGAAUAAAAGCAGGCUGCCCGAGCCAGCAGUGGCAACCCGCUCGGGUCCCUUCCACGCUGUCAAAGCUUUGUUCUUUCACUCUUUGCAAUAAAUCUUGCUGCUGCUCGCUCUUUGGGUCCACACUGCCUUUAUGAGCUGUAACACUCACCACGAAGGUCUGCAGCUUCACUCCUGAAGCCAGCGAGACCACGAACCCACCGGGAGGAACGAACAACUCCAGACGCACCGCCUUAAGAGCUGUAGCACUCACCGCGAAGGUCCGCAGCUUCACUCCUGAGCCAGCCAGACCACAAACCCCACCAGAAGGAAGAAACUCCAAACACAUCCAUACAUCAGAAGGAACAAACUCUGGACACGCCGCCUUUAAGAACUGUAACACUCACCGCGAGGGUCCGCGGCUUCAUUCUUGAAGUCAGUGAGACCAAGAACCCACCAAUUCCGGACACAAUAGCACGUGCACCAAAUAGAAUUCUCACCUAAGGGAAAAAGUUUAUAGAGCUAUCAGAGUAGGUCUCCAAUAGAGCAAGGUCUUGAGACAAAUGGGUAUUUUAUUUAAAAAAAAAAAUAGGCUGUCAUGAAACAAGAACAAACAGUGAAAAGAGAUACUAGACAUUAAUAAUUGAAGUUUAAAAACUCAACAUGAGUUGUCAGGUGUUGGGGAAGGAAAAGAUGCAUAGGCAGAGAACAGAAUUUUUAGGGCAAUGAACUAUUUUGUAUACUAUAAUGGUGGAUACAUGUAAUAUAUUUGUCAAAAUUCACAGAAGAUACAACACCAAGAAUGAAUCCUAAUGUAAACUAUGGACUAUGGGUGAUGAUGUGUCAAUGAAGUUUAAUCAGUUGUUAACAAAAGUACCACAGUGGAUGUUGAUAGUGGAGGAGGUUGCGUACAUGUGCACAGGCAGGGGAUAUAUGGUAACUGCUCAAUUUUCAAGUGAACCUAAAACUCCUCUAAUAAAUAAGGUUUAUUGUUUUUUUUAGAACCCCCCA